GCCGAAGUGGUGGAAUUGGUAGACACGCUGUCUUGAGGGGGCAGUGGCCAUUGGCCGUGCCGGUUCGAGUCCGGCCUUCGGCACCA
Molecule: transfer RNA, 86 nt
Filed under: Gammaproteobacteria bacterium HGW-Gammaproteobacteria-8
Lineage: Bacteria; Pseudomonadati; Pseudomonadota; Gammaproteobacteria
Also listed under: 1 other name
Description: tRNA-Leu
Rfam family: tRNA
About the family: Transfer RNA (tRNA) molecules are approximately 80 nucleotides in length. Their secondary structure includes four short double-helical elements and three loops (D, anti-codon, and T loops). Further hydrogen bonds mediate the characteristic L-shaped molecular structure. tRNAs have two regions of fundamental functional importance: the anti-codon, which is responsible for specific mRNA codon recognition, and the 3' end, to which the tRNAs corresponding amino acid is attached (by aminoacyl-tRNA synthetases). tRNAs cope with the degeneracy of the genetic code in two manners: having more than one tRNA (with a specific anti-codon) for a particular amino acid; and 'wobble' base-pairing, i.e. permitting non-standard base-pairing at the 3rd anti-codon position.
Source: RNAcentral